RNAcentral lists this ribosomal RNA (492 nucleotides) under uncultured bacterium. Its description in RNAcentral is "partial 16S ribosomal RNA". It matches the Rfam family "Bacterial small subunit ribosomal RNA", at positions 29 to 507 of the family's 1533-position model. The record is from RNAcentral.
AGUGGACGCUGGCGGUAGGCCUAACACAUGCAAGUCGAACGGCAGCACAGUAAGAGCUUGCUCUUACGGGUGGCGAGUGGCGGACGGGUGAGGAAUACAUCGGAAUCUACUUUUUCGUGGGGGAUAACGUAGGGAAACUUACGCUAAUACCGCAUACGACCUACGGGUGAAAGCAGGGGAUCUUCGGACCUUGCGCGAUUGAAUGAGCCGAUGUCGGAUUAGCUAGUUGGCGGGGUAAAGGCCCACCAAGGCGACGAUCCGUAGCUGGUCUGAGAGGAGGAUCAGCCACACUGGAACUGAGACACGGUCCAGACUCCUACGGGAGGCAGCAGUGGGGAAUAUUGGACAAUGGGCGCAAGCCUGAUCCAGCCAUACCGCGUGGGUGAAGAAGGCCUUCGGGUUGUAAAGCCCUUUUGUUGGGAAAGAAAAGCAGCAGGUUAAUACCCCGCUGUUCUGACGGUACCCAAAGAAUAAGCACCGGCUAACUUCGUG